This 500-nucleotide ribosomal RNA is filed under the name uncultured bacterium. Its description in RNAcentral is "bacterial SSU rRNA". It matches the Rfam family "Bacterial small subunit ribosomal RNA", at positions 29 to 509 of the family's 1533-position model. The record is from RNAcentral.
AGCGAACGUUAGCGGCAGGCUUAACACAUGCAAGUCGAGCGCGAAAGAGGGCUUCGGCCCUCGAGUAAAGCGGCGUACGGGUGAGUAACACGUGGAUAAUCUGCCCUCCGGUGGGGACAACAACCCGAAAGGGUUGCUAAUACCGCAUUCGUCGGCGAGCUCUGCGGAGCACGUCGGGAAAGGUGCCCUCUACUUAUAAGGUACCGCCGGAGGAGGAGUCCGCGUCCCAUCAGCUAGUUGGUAGGGAACGGCCUACCAAGGCUAAGACGGGUAGCUGGUCUGAGAGGAUGAUCAGCCACACUGGGACUGAGACACGGCCCAGACUCCUACGGGAGCAGCAGUGGGGAAUAUUGGACAAUGGGCGCAAGCCUGAUCCAGCCAUGCCGCGUGAGUGAUGAAGGCCCUCGGGUCGUAAAGCUCUGUGGAGGGGAAGAAUUUCUGCAGCAUCAGAUCCUGCAGGUUGACGGUACCCUUUAGCAAGCACCGGCUAACUCCGUGCC